CUCCCGACAUCCUCACUUUUAACCACUAAGAGGGCUUUAACAUCCCUGAACUCAUCUUCCCCAAACACACACAGACCCCAAAACUUCAUGGUAUAAUGCAACCGUUUUGUGAUGCUUACAGGCUCAGGGACUUGGACAAGUACAUCAGGGAGAGCACGUCUCUGCUCUGUGCUGUCUGGGGCCUCAGCUGAAGGGCCUAAAGGCUGAGCUGACUCGAGGGCAGGGUGCUGGAAUCGUCUGCUGGCAGCUGAUCCCGGCUGAGACCUGGGUUGUUGACUCCAGACCUCGUUGUGCAGCUGGGGCUUCCUCACGUCGUGGCACCUCUGGUCACCGGUGUCUCACGGGGUGGCUUCAGGGCUGAGUGGGAGCUAACAGGACUGAGUCACACACCCUCGUCUGAGGGGCAGAGUCCCUGCUGCUGCAUUCUGCUGGUGGCACAAAGCUGCCCAGAUUCAGGCACAGACCCUCUCUCUCCACGAGAGGGGAGUCAGAGCACUUGUGGGCAUGUUUACAACUCCACGUGGAGGGCAUCGAUACCUGGCCAUGCCUGCCGCACCCCCCCACCCCCCCCGGGCCAUGGGAAGCUGGGACAGUGAGUGUGGAACGCUAACGGGACAACUCAGACUCAGGUUAGCGCUGACCUCAGCAGCCCAUCACUGCCUCUUGGCCAAAAGAAAAAACUUUCCCCCUAUUUAUUUAUUUAGGCUGUGCUGGAUCUCAGUUGCCACACACGGGCUUUUCCAGCUGUGGCAUGAGUACUUAGUCGCAGUAUGUGAGGCCUUCAUUCCCUGAACAGGGCUUGGACCCUGGCCCCUCCACUGGCAGAGCAGCGUCUCAGUCACUGGUCAGCAGGGGAAGCCCGUUGGCAGGGUCUGGGGUGCUGGUCCGGGAGGACACGCUCCUGGUGGCCAGCAGGGGGCGCCCAGCAGCCCUUGGCGUCCCCAGGUUAGCAGCGGGCAGGAGAGGGUGCCUCUCUGGACACCGUCUGCCUCCACUGCCCAGCAAGGAGCCCUCGAGGGGGCCCCAGCUGUGUCCACACCCCUCCCUACGGACUCCAAAUAGGCUGUCGCUGGUUUUCCUUGCUUCUCACCGGCUGCGCCAGCUCCACGAGCCCCCUGGGGCCACACCCCAGGCGGGGCUCCGGCACUGGCUUUGCAACCUGGCGGGUCGCGAGCUGGGACAAACCACACCCCUGGUCUGGACUUUGGGCUUCCCCAGAGGUGUGGGCUGUGAUCCCGAGGCCUGUGUGCAGGUGUUUGAAGCAUCAGAUCGUUCUCUCUGGCUGUCCCAGCUCUCAGCUGCAGCACGCGGGGUCUCGUUCCCCGAUCGGGGGUCGCACUCAGCCUUGUCGCCGCUGGGCCACCAGAGAAGUCCUGCGGCGUCAGCAAGAAAGACAGAAAGAAAACACAGCCUGUGGCAGCCAUCCAGAACCAGGGCCUUCAGAGGCAGAGGGGAGAGCGAGGCCUUGGGGCAUGGAGUUGCCGGGAGGGACCACUUUUCAGGGAAUCGGCCGUUAAACUUCUCAGGACUCGGGGGAGCCUGGCCUUGGGUGCAGCCUGGUGACCUGAUGGCACAGGCCUGUGGGCUGAGCACUGUGUGACACUAUGGGCACCAAGCAGGCUGUGAUGGCACUGGGGGGCACCCUGGCGGCUCAGCCCUUCCGUGGCCCCCUUGCCUUAUCCGCUCUCUGUACCUGGGCACCGCUUCAGUUUCCCUGCUCUGGACCUCUUACCGUGCCUGUCUCCUGAAUCCUCCUUUCUGGGCCCAGACAGUUGAAGAGAUGGCCCCAAAUGGCAGUGCCACCAGCUUUCUGACCUGGCAGACUGCCACCACCUGGAUGCCACUGUCCAGGCCCCAGCCUGGGAUGGACCUCUGAUGGGCUGACAUUUGCCAAGUCAGGCCCAGACUGAACAAAACAGAAGCUUCAAUCCCAACUCUGCCUUUCUCUCUGUGUGACGACGGGCGAGACACAGAUCUUUCUGAACCUCAAUGUUCUCAUCUGCAAAAUGGAAAAUACACUAAUAAAGCUGUAAUAAGUCGUGGGGGUGAAUCCUGU
This is a long non-coding RNA of Bos indicus x Bos taurus (hybrid cattle), 2056 nucleotides long. The record is from Ensembl. Lineage: Eukaryota; Metazoa; Chordata; Mammalia; Artiodactyla; Bovidae.